ACGCUGGCGGCGUGCUUAACACAUGCAAGUUGAACGGUAUGACAUGGAAGCUUGCUGAAGUGUCAUAUAGUAGCGGACGGGUGAGUAAUGCAUGAGAAGCUGCCAUUGGGAGGGGGACAACAGUUGGAAACGGCUGCUAAUACCCCGUAUGCCGGAAGGUGAAAGGGAGCGAUCCGCCCGAUGAGGUGCUCAUGUCCUAUCAGCUGGUUGUGGGGUAACGGCCUACCAAGGCGACGACGGGUAGCCGGCCUGAGAGGGUGAACGGCCACACUGGAACUGAGAUACGGUCCAGACUCCUACGGGAGGCAGCAGUGGGGAAUAUUGGGCAAAAUGGGGGCAACCCUGACCCAGCGACGCCGCGUGGGGGAAGACGGCCUUCGGGUUGUAAACCUCUUUUGUACGGGAAGAAGGAAGUGACGGUACUGUACGAAUAAGUCCCGGCUAACUACGUGCCAGCAGCCGC
This 463-nucleotide ribosomal RNA is filed under the name uncultured bacterium. RNAcentral describes it as "bacterial SSU rRNA". It matches the Rfam family "Bacterial small subunit ribosomal RNA", at positions 33 to 518 of the family's 1533-position model. The record is from RNAcentral.